GACGAACGCUGGCGGCGCGCCUAACACAUGCAAGUCGAACGAGCGAGAGAGAGCUUGCUUUCUCGAGCGAGUGGCGAACGGGUGAGUAACGCGUGAGGAACCUGCCUCAAAGAGGGGGACAACAGUUGGAAACGACUGCUAAUACCGCAUAAGCCCACGGUGCCGCAUGGCACAGAGGGAAAAGGAGCAAUCCGCUUUGAGAUGGCCUCGCGUCCGAUUAGCUAGUUGGUGAGGUAACGGCCCACCAAGGCAACGAUCGGUAGCCGGACUGAGAGGUUGAACGGCCACAUUGGGACUGAGACACGGCCCAGACUCCUACGGGAGGCAGCAGUGGGGAAUAUUGCACAAUGGGGGAAACCCUGAUGCAGCGACGCCGCGUGGAGGAAGAAGGUCUUCGGAUUGUAAACUCCUGUUGUUGGGGAAGAUAAUGACGGUACCCAACAAGGAAGUGACGGCUAACUACGUGCCAGCAGCCGCGGUAAGCUAGUCUACG
Molecule: ribosomal RNA, 493 nt
Filed under: uncultured bacterium
Lineage: Bacteria
Description: bacterial SSU rRNA
Rfam family: Bacterial small subunit ribosomal RNA
Source: RNAcentral